RNAcentral lists this unclassified non-coding RNA (1503 nucleotides) under Hevea brasiliensis (rubber tree). Lineage: Eukaryota; Viridiplantae; Streptophyta; Magnoliopsida; Malpighiales; Euphorbiaceae. The record is from RNAcentral.
GGGGAAGUAGUAGUGGUUAGUACUUGAUAGUUGGUACUUAAUAGCACUGUUUUACUACUGUUCUUAUCUAACGUCACGUGCUGCAGUCAAGCGCACAGAUCUAAGAACUGGUUGCUGAUGUGGCAAUAUCAAGGGUGUCCAAGUCUUCCUAUCAUUUCUUGUAAAGCUUCAUAAUUACAGGCUGCAGGAACAGCCUCUCCUAAAAAUUUUCUGACUUUUGAGGGGGAGAGAGACAGAAAGAGUAGAGCAAUGGUACCAGCAGCUGCUACAGCCGCCUCGCUAAACUGCGCACUAUUUCACCGCCAAGGAGGACUGAAUCGAGCAACUAGUGGAUUACAAUGGACAAAGAAGCAGUGCACUAGAAAGCCAGGUCCUGCCAUAAUUACAGCUAAAUUUGAGCUCAAGCCGCCUCCAUAUCCUCUGAACGCAUUGGAGCCACAUAUGAGCAAGGAUACCCUGGAGUAUCACUGGGGAAAGCAUCACAGGGCUUAUGUUGAUAACUUAAACAAGCAAAUUGUAGGAACCGAACUAGAUAGCAUGCCGUUGGAAGAUGUGGUAAUUGUUACUUACAACAAGGGUGAUAUGCUUCCAGCUUUUAACAAUGCUGCGCAGGCGUGGAAUCAUGAGUUCUUCUGGGGAUGCAUGAAGCCAGGUGGCGGAGGAAAGCCAUCAGGAGAGCUUCUGCAAUUGAUUGAAAGAGACUUUGGUUCCUUUGAAAAAUUUGUGGAAGAGUUUAAGUCGGCAGCAGCAACACAGUUUGGUUCUGGAUGGGCUUGGCUUGUUUACAAAGCAAACAGGCUUGAUGUUGAAAAUGCAGUAAAUCCUCGUCCAUUAGAAGAGGACAAAAAGCUGGUUGUGGUGAAGAGUUCCAAUGCUGUAAAUCCGCUUGUUUGGGAUUACUCACCACUCCUUACAAUUGAUGUUUGGGAGCAUGCUUACUACCUUGACUUUCAGAAUCGAAGGCCUGAUUACAUAUCAACCUUUAUGGAGAAGCUUGUAUCAUGGGAAGCAGCCAGUGCUAGACUUGAAGUUGCUAAAGCUCAAGCUGCUGAGAGAGAAAAAGAAGAACAGAGGAAAAGAGAUGAAGCAGAGGACAUUCAGGGCAGUGAAGCUGUAGAAAUGUAUGUGGAUGGUGAAACUGAAGAUUCUGGGGCCGAUUAACUCGAGACUUUCUUUCAGGUACAGUAAUGUGGAAAAAUUUUGUGGCCUAUUAUCACAUCCAUCAUUUUGUAUCUUUGAUUGGAAUAUAGAGGUCGGUUGGAGCGGCACAGACCAUAGACGUUGAAACCAUGUCAAGGUUUUGUACGUGGAAUACUAUCCAGUGGUCUGUGGAAGCCAAGGAAAAGUAUUUAAUGAAAUAAGAUAAUUUUCAAGUUAAAUUCCUUUACCCUAUUUGGAUUGAGUGUAGCUUGAUUUAUUAAUAUAUCAUAUCGUACUGUAUGAUAUUGUAUGGUUUUAUUGAUAACAUGUUUGGAAAAAUGGUAUGGUACACCAUGAUUUAAU